Molecule: ribosomal RNA, 511 nt
Filed under: uncultured bacterium
Lineage: Bacteria
Description: bacterial SSU rRNA
Rfam family: Bacterial small subunit ribosomal RNA
Source: RNAcentral
AUGGCUCAGAACGAACGCUGGCGGCGCGUUUAAGCAUGCAAGUCGAGCGGCAAGGGCCUUCGGGCCCCUAGAGCGGCGGACGGGUGAGUAACACGUGGACAAUCUGCCCCCCGGCCCGGGAUAGCCCAGGGAAACCUGGAUUAAUACCGGAUGAGACGGGACCCGCGAUGGCGGGAUCCGGGAAAGGCGCUGCGGCGCCGCCGGGGGAUGAGUCUGCGUCCCAUUAGCUAGACGGCGGGGUAACGGCCCACCGUGGCGACGAUGGGGUAGCCGGCCUGAGAGGGUGGACGGCCACAUUGGAACUGAGACACGGUCCAGACUCCUACGGGAGGCAGCAGCUAAGAAUCUUCCGCAAUGGGCGAAAGCCUGAACCGGAGCGACGCCGCGUGAACGAAGAAGGCCGUGAGGUUGUAAAGUUCUUUUCGGGAGGGGGAACAACCGUGGUAGGGAACGGCCGCGGGAUGACGUGAAUCCCGGAAUAAGCCCCGGCUAACUACGUGCCAGCCGCCGC